GAUGAACGCUGGCGGCGUGCCUAAUACAUGCAAGUCGAGCGAACAGACGAGGAGCUUGCUCCUCUGACGUUAGCGACGGACGGGUGAGUAACACGUGGAUAACCUACCUAUAAGACUGGGAUAACUUCGGGAAACCGGAGCUAAUACCGGAUAACAUGUUGAACCGCAUGGUUCAACAGUGAAAGACGGUCUUGCUGUCACUUAUAGAUGGAUCCGCGCCGCAUUAGCUAGUUGGUAAGGUAACGGCUUACCAAGGCAACGAUGCGCAGCCGACCUGAGAGGGUGAUCGGCCACACUGGAACUGAGACACGGUCCAGACUCCUACGGGAGGCAGCAGUAGGGAAUCUUCCGCAAUGGGCGAAAGCCUGACGGAGCAACGCCGCGUGAGUGAAGAAGGUCUUCGGAUCGUAAAACUCUGUUAUUAGGGAAGAACAAAUGUGUAAGUAACUAUGCACGUCUUGACGGUACCUAAUCAGAAAGCCACGGCUAACUACGUG
This 497-nucleotide ribosomal RNA is filed under the name uncultured bacterium. Its description in RNAcentral is "partial 16S ribosomal RNA". It matches the Rfam family "Bacterial small subunit ribosomal RNA", at positions 28 to 507 of the family's 1533-position model. The record is from RNAcentral.